RNAcentral lists this ribosomal RNA (1240 nucleotides) under uncultured bacterium. RNAcentral's name for it is "partial 16S ribosomal RNA". It matches the Rfam family "Bacterial small subunit ribosomal RNA", at positions 235 to 1466 of the family's 1533-position model. The record is from RNAcentral.
GUGGGAUUAGCUAGUUGGUGAGGUAAUGGCUCACCAAGGCGACGAUCCCUAGCUGGUUUGAGAGGGAUGGAUCAGCCACACUGGAACUGAGACACGGUCCAGACUCCUACGGGAGGCAGCAGUGGGGAAUAUUGCACAAUGGGGGAAACCCUGAUGCAGCCAUGCCGCGUGUGUGAAGAAGGCCUUCGGGUUGUAAAGCACUUUCAGCGAGGAGGAAAGGUUGGUAGCUAAUAACUGCCAGCUGUGACGUUACUCGCAGAAGAAGCACCGGCUAACUCCGUGCCAGCAGCCUCGGUAAUACGGAGGGUGCAAGCGUUAAUCGGAAUUACUGGGCGUAAAGCGCACGCAGGCGGUUGGAUAAGUUAGAUGUGGGGGCCCCGGGCUCCGCCUGGGCUGUGCGUUUCCCUCUGUCCUGCUGGGGUCUUGUGGCGGGGGGUGGUUUUCCUGGUGUGGCGGUGCCCUGCGUUGUGGUCUGGAGGCCUGCCGGUGGCGUCGGCGGCCCCCUGGGCCGGGNCUGUCGCUCUGGUGCGUUCGCGUGGGGGGCCCCAGAGAUUGGGUUCCCUGGUAGUCCACGCCGUAAACGAUGUCGAUUUGGAGGCUGUGUCCUUGAGACGUGGCUUCCGGAGCUAACGCGUUAAAUCGACCGCCUGGGGAGUACGGCCGCAAGGUUAAAACUCAAAUGAAUUGACGGGGGCCCGCACAAGCGGUGGAGCAUGUGGUUUAAUUCGAUGCAACGCGAAGAACCUUACCUACUCUUGACAUCCAGAGAACUUUCCAGAGAUGGAUUGGUGCCUUCGGGAACUCUGAGACAGGUGCUGCAUGGCUGUCGUCAGCUCGUGUUGUGAAAUGUUGGGUUAAGUCCCGCAACGAGCGCAACCCUUAUCCUUUGUUGCCAGCGAUUCGGUCAGGAACUCAAAGGAGACUGCCGGUGAUAAACCGGAGGAAGGUGGGGAUGACGUCAAGUCAUCAUGGCCCUUACGAGUAGGGCUACACACGUGCUACAAUGGCAUAUACAAAGGGCGGCAAGCUAGCGAUAGUGAGCGAAUCCCAUAAAGUAUGUCGUAGUCCGGAUUGGAGUCUGCAACUCGACUCCAUGAAGUCGGAAUCGCUAGUAAUCGUGGAUCAGAAUGCCACGGUGAAUACGUUCCCGGGCCUUGUACACACCGCCCGUCACACCAUGGGAGUGGGCUGCAAAAGAAGUGGGUAGCUUAACCUUCGGGGGGGCGCUCACCACUUUGUG